AUACAAUAUUCAUACAGUCCUAUCGAUAUAUAUAACAGAAUUUCUCUGUGCUACAUUCGCGCUUAACAGCUCAUUCUUACGGUUUGUUGUCAAAACAACAAAUGCAAUUCGUUACGAAAAACUAUAUUUGGAAUUAAUACACAACCAGGUUUAUUCUCGAAUCAAUUCGAUAUUGCGCCUUCCUGUAUACCGUUUAUUAAACUCCAUUUACUUGCAGGACAAUGGAGGAAAUAUGCAGAGUUUGCAUAGGAACUUCUCGGGUAUUCACAAACAUUUUCGACGAGUGACCAAAGUGGGACACUUGCAUUGCUGACAUGAUAGCCCAUUGUACAGGAUACGUGGUUAGGCGAGGAGACUUACCAUCAGAUAAAAUAUGUCCGCAUUGCCUUCAGUGGGUGCUUUUAAUCUAUGGAAAACCUGCGAGCUGAGCCAUAAAUUAUAAUUCCCUGAGAUAGAGGCGGAUAUAGAAGAAAUGUGUGAAAAUCAUGAAGACGAGGUUUCAGAAAACUCAUCCGUGUUCACACUGGGGAGCGACCACAUAAAUGUACUCACUGCGGGAAGGGUUUUUUCCGAUCCGUAAUUCUUCGCGAUCACAUCUGAUUGCAUACAGGUGAUCAACGCUUCCAAUGCUCUUUAUGCAAGAUGGCUUUUAACAAAAAACAACAUUUGGAAACACAUUUACGCACUCACACGGGAGAGCGGCCGUAUAAGUGUAUGAUGUGUGAUAAGUCCUUUUCCCAAGCUGGAACUCUUGCGGUUCACACAUACCGCACACAUACCGGAGAACGAGCCUACAAAUGCUCGGAGUGAUCAAAGUCGUUUAUACAGAAAUAUGAACUAAAAUUACACAUCCGUAGUCACACUGGGGAGAGACCGUAUAAGUGCAAUCAAUGUUCAAAGUUGUUUGCAAAACUAGACACUCUGAAAGCGCACAUACGAAGUCACUCUGAAGAUCGGCAUUUCCAAUGCUCGCACUGCUCAAAAUCAUUUAAGCAAAGAUCUGGCCUUAAUAAGCACACCCGUACGCACCACACCUGAGAGAAUCUGAACCAAUGUGCUUACUGCGAAAAGUCCUUUAAACAAACAGGUGAUCGGCCCUACUCUUGCUCUAACUGCUCGAAAUUAUUCAAGCAAAAGCAGCAUCUCACUCAACAUAUCCUAACGCACAUUGAUGGAGAACUGUUCUCGUGUUCUUACUGCCCAAAGACUUUAAAAAAAAACUCCUAUCUACAAAAACACACUCGAACUCACACAGAAAAAGGACUUUAAAGUGUUAAAGAUGGAAAAAUUAAAAAUGUUGCCCC
Molecule: long non-coding RNA, 1304 nt
Filed under: Drosophila guanche
Lineage: Eukaryota; Metazoa; Arthropoda; Insecta; Diptera; Drosophilidae
Source: RNAcentral